CUCCCACGACAGAACCUUACUUCGGUACAUCGGUGACAGGUGAUGCAUGGUUGUCGUCAGCUCGUGUCGUGAGAUGUUGGGUUAAGUCCCGCAACGAGCGCAACCCCUAUUGUUAGUUGCCAUCAUUCAGUUGGGCACUCUAGCGAGACUGCCGGUAAUAAACCGGAGGAAGGUGGGGAUGACGUCAAAUCAUCAUGCCCCUUAUGACCUGGGCUACACACGUGCUACAAUGGUUGGUACAACGAGUUGCGAGUCGGUGACGGCGAGCUAAUCUCUUAAAGCCAAUCUCAGUUCGGAUUGUAGGCUGCAACUCGCCUACAUGAAGUCGGAAUCGCUAGUAAUCGCGGAUCAGCACGCCGCGGUGAAUACGUUCCCGGUCGACGCGGCCG
This 389-nucleotide ribosomal RNA is filed under the name uncultured bacterium. RNAcentral describes it as "bacterial SSU rRNA". It matches the Rfam family "Bacterial small subunit ribosomal RNA", at positions 999 to 1377 of the family's 1533-position model. The record is from RNAcentral.